This is an RNA transcript of Topomyia yanbarensis, 2269 nucleotides long. It is a transcript of the gene named tropomyosin-1, with no coding region annotated. The transcript has 6 exons. Lineage: Eukaryota; Metazoa; Arthropoda; Insecta; Diptera; Culicidae. The record is from RefSeq and is a predicted model, not a curated record.
CCUCCCGUUCCGUACAUCCCGGUGUCGAUGUAGUAGUAGUAUCUGCACAGAGCUAGGGUCCAUCGGGCGUUUUAACGUAUUGCGCUACUCAGUGCUAUCGUGUUUUUAGUCUAGCGAGGAUUUGAGUGAAGCGCUCAGCAACAACCAGUUGGUCAAUUUUUCGUGGAAAGGCCGGUGUAAUACAAAAAUCCAUCCACCAUGGACGCGAUUAAGAAGAAGAUGCAGGCGAUGAAGCUUGAGAAGGACAAUGCUCAAGACAAAGCCGAUACCUGCGAGAAUCAGGCGAAGGAGGCCAACCUCCGCGCCGACAAGAUCAUGGAGGAGGUCGCUGAGUUGACCAAGCGUCUGACUCAGGUCACCAGUGACCACGAAACCUUCAAGGCCUCUCUGGAGCAGGCCAACAAGGAUUUCGAGGAGAAGGAAAAGAACCUCACCGCCACCGAGGCCAACGUUGCUGCUCUGACCCGUAAGGUCCAACAGGUUGAGGAGGAUCUGGAAAAGUCCGAGGAACGUUCGGGCGCUGCUCUAUCUAAACUGCUGGAGGCUACUCAGUCCGCUGAUGAGAACAAUCGUAUGUGCAAAGUGUUGGAGAACCGUUCCCAGCAGGAUGAGGAGCGUAUGGAUCAGUUGUCCAACCAAUUGAAGGAAGCCCGUAUGCUCGCUGAAGACGCUGACGGCAAGUCUGAUGAAGUGUCCCGCAAGCUGGCCUUCGUUGAAGAUGAGUUGGAAGUCGCUGAAGAUCGUGUCAAGUCCGGUGAGGCCAAGAUCAUGGAGUUGGAAGAAGAGUUGAAGGUCGUCGGUAACUCGCUCAAAUCCCUGGAAGUUUCGGAGGACAAGGCCAACCAGAGAGUCGAGGAGUUCAAGCGUCAGUUGAAGUCCCUCACCAUCAAGCUGAAGGAGGCCGAAACUCGUGCCGAGAAUGCCGAGAAGAAUGUCAAGAAACUCCAGAAGGAAGUCGACAGACUAGAAGACAAACUGAUGAACGAGAAGGAAAAGUACAAAGCGAUCUGCGACGAUUUGGAUUCCACCUUCGCCGAACUUACCGGAUACUAAUUUCUCAAAAAAAAAAACAGCUACUACCGCUACUAUUACUACCACUACUACUACUGCUAAUAGUACUACUACAACCAGCUUGCCCUGUUUUAAACCAUAGCAAAAAAAAGACAACAGCUCAAAUCCAGGCGAUUCGGUUCGUUCCAUCUCCUUCUUUCUAUAUCUCUCUAUCUCUCGCGUUCGCUCAUCCGGGAGCGAACUCGAUGCGGAACGAUUGUUGUACUCCGGGUGCACCCCUCUGGAGCCAAUAUGAUCACCCUGUACCAGUUCCAUUGUUUUAUACUGUUUCAUGUGAUCCGUGUUGCCGAUGAGAAUCAGAUGUUGUAGCUUUAUAUUUUUCAACGGAGCGGAACGGUUAUUUUAUAAUUAUUUAGACGAACUGGGUACCAACAAGGACCGGUACAAGUCCCUGGCCGACGAGAUGGAUUCCACAUUUGCCGAGUUGGCCGGCUACUAAGGAGCGCCGGGUUUUACACAUUCACUGUUCCAGCCUUUGAAGAUGAACAAAAACAGAAAAAAAACACGUAUACACUUACACUUUGCCUCAUCCCAAGGGGUGGUGGAAAGAGCAUUUUUUUUUCAUCCGAAUCUGCAAUAAUUCGCGCCACCGCCCAAUGGGAGAUUAACGACACAAGAGAUUAGAGAGAUAAAUACGACGCCCCGAAAUCGUAAGAACAACUAUGAUCCGAGUAGAAAAUUCAUGUUUUAUCAUAGAAAAGUAUUAGCGAUUAAUUUACGUAAUCAUUUGCAUAGUAGGUAAGAGAUCAUCAUUUUUCGCUUAAAGAAGAAGAAGAAGAAAACGUAUUGUUGUUGUUGCAGCCAUCAAAGAAAAGUUCAUGAUCAAAAGAAGAUUUUUUUAUUCUAUCGCUACUUUUAAAUAUAGAUUAUAUUAUAACAAAAAUAAGUGGAAACCCCUAUUGUUGGAAGAUUUUUAGGCAAUAACAACUGACGCAAUCGAUAAAGAAAAACAAUCAUGUUGGUUUUGCGAUUUAAUAAGAACAAAAAGCCAUCGUCGAGACACUUGAAGAAAAAAUCACUGUAUUACUUCUGUCCAAUACGAAAAACCCGCUCCGGAAUAAAACUACACUCGAUGGAAAAUGCUGUCUGCUCCGAUUCGGUUCGCGUGUGUGCCAUGCAUGCGAGAUUCGAGUUUGAACCUAGGAAGCUCUAUUUCUCUAUUUUUAGAUGAAAUUGAAUUAAAACCUAUUUAUUGUAA